GUCGCCGUCGUCGUCGUCUUCGUCACCACCACCAAUUUCAGUUUUUUCACCAAUAUCAGCUGCAAACAGCUCACUCGUGUCCAUAGUGGAUGUAGAACAGUGCCAUCAACCAAUGGAACUUCUUGCAUAGCAUAAUGCAAGUGCAGUAGCUUGCAAGGCAGAUAGAGUGUGGAGCUGUGGACACUAAAAAGGAGAGUGCCAAUUAGAGAAAUUGGCACAUUUCAAGAAAGCUUUUAACAAUGUCAACAAGAAUACACUCUUUGAAAUUAUGAAG
Long non-coding RNA from Schistocerca piceifrons (Central American locust), 274 nucleotides. RefSeq lists it as uncharacterized. The record is from RefSeq and is a predicted model, not a curated record. NCBI's taxonomy places the organism in Eukaryota, Metazoa, Arthropoda, Insecta, Orthoptera, Acrididae. The transcript is spliced from 3 exons.